RNAcentral lists this ribosomal RNA (460 nucleotides) under uncultured bacterium. RNAcentral describes it as "partial 16S ribosomal RNA". It matches the Rfam family "Bacterial small subunit ribosomal RNA", at positions 338 to 795 of the family's 1533-position model. The record is from RNAcentral.
CCUACGGGAGGCAGCAGUGAGGAAUAUUGGUCAAUGGACGAGAGUCUGAACCAGCCAAGUAGCGUGAAGGAUGACUGCCCUAUGGGUUGUAAACUUCUUUUAUAUGGGAAUAAAAUGUUCCACGUGUGGGAUUUUGUAUGUAACAUAUGAAUAAGGAUCGGCUAACUCCGUGCCAGCAGACGCGGUAAUACGGAGGAUUCGAGCGUUAUCCGGAUUUUAUGGGUUUAAAGGGAGCGUAGGUGGAUUGUUAAGGCAGUUGUUAAAGUUUGCGGGUCAACCGUAAAAUUGCAGUUGAAACUGGCAGUCUUGAGUACAGUAGAGGUGGGCGGAAUUCGUGGUGUAGCGGUGAAAUGCUUAGAUAUCACGAAGAACUCCGAUUGCGAAGGCAGUUCACUGGCCUGCAACUGACACUGAGGCACGAAAGUGUGGGUAUCAAACAGGAUUAGAUACCCUAGUAGUC